GAGUUUGAUCAUGGCUCAGAGUGAACGCUGGCGGUAGGCCUAACACAUGCAAGUCGAACGGCAGCACAGUAAGAGCUUGCUCUUAUGGGUGGCGAGUGGCGGACGGGUGAGGAAUACAUCGGAAUCUACUUUUUCGUGGGGGAGUAACGUAGGGAACUUACGCUAAUACCGCAUACGACCUACGGGUGAAGCAGGGGAUCUUCGGACCUUGCGCGAUUGAAUGAGCCGAUGUCGGAUUAGCUAGUUGGCGGGGUAAAGGCCCACCAAGGCGACGAUCCGUAGCUGGUCUGAGAGGAUGAUCAGCCACACUGGAACUGAGACACGGUCCAGACUCCUACGGGAGGCAGCAGUGGGGAAUAUUGGACAAUGGGCGCAAGCCUGAUCCAGCCAUACCGCGUGGGUGAAGAAGGCCUUCGGUUGUAA
This 423-nucleotide ribosomal RNA is filed under the name uncultured microorganism. RNAcentral's name for it is "bacterial SSU rRNA". It matches the Rfam family "Bacterial small subunit ribosomal RNA", at positions 9 to 428 of the family's 1533-position model. The record is from RNAcentral.